GAGGGUGUAGCUCAGUGGUAGAGUGCAUGCUUAGCAUGCACGAGGUCCUGGGGUCAAUCCCCCGUACCUUCC
Molecule: transfer RNA, 72 nt
Filed under: Camelus ferus (Wild Bactrian camel)
Lineage: Eukaryota; Metazoa; Chordata; Mammalia; Artiodactyla; Camelidae
Rfam family: tRNA
About the family: Transfer RNA (tRNA) molecules are approximately 80 nucleotides in length. Their secondary structure includes four short double-helical elements and three loops (D, anti-codon, and T loops). Further hydrogen bonds mediate the characteristic L-shaped molecular structure. tRNAs have two regions of fundamental functional importance: the anti-codon, which is responsible for specific mRNA codon recognition, and the 3' end, to which the tRNAs corresponding amino acid is attached (by aminoacyl-tRNA synthetases). tRNAs cope with the degeneracy of the genetic code in two manners: having more than one tRNA (with a specific anti-codon) for a particular amino acid; and 'wobble' base-pairing, i.e. permitting non-standard base-pairing at the 3rd anti-codon position.
Source: Rfam by way of RNAcentral